UACGGAGGGUGCAAGCGUUGUUCGGAAUUAUUGGGCGUAAAGCGCGUGUAGGCGGUUUGUUAAGUCUGGUGUGAAAGCCCUGGGCUCAACCUGGGAAGUGCAUUGGAUACUGGCAAACUUGAGUACGGGAGAGGAUGGUGGAAUUCCGAGUGUAGGGGUGAAAUCCGUAGAUAUUCGGAGGAACACCGGUGGCGAAGGCGGCUAUCUGGACCGAUACUGACGCUGAGACGCGAAAGCGUGGGGAGCAAACAGG
This 253-nucleotide ribosomal RNA is filed under the name uncultured bacterium. Its description in RNAcentral is "partial 16S ribosomal RNA". It matches the Rfam family "Bacterial small subunit ribosomal RNA", at positions 524 to 776 of the family's 1533-position model. The record is from RNAcentral.